This 326-nucleotide unclassified non-coding RNA is filed under the name Hevea brasiliensis (rubber tree). Lineage: Eukaryota; Viridiplantae; Streptophyta; Magnoliopsida; Malpighiales; Euphorbiaceae. The record is from RNAcentral.
AAAAUGAUUGGAAAUCCCACACCACAAACGCAAAGUGCUUUUUCCUGCGCAGCCAUCAUCAUUCGCCGGAGGAGGUAAAACCGCUGGUAGCUCGUGCCUAGUGCGGGCUAGCCUGGCGGUUAGAAGCGGCAACACAAGCAGUGUACGAACAUCUGGUGGGGAAUCGCUGCAGGGUUUUGCCCCAAGGGAAUGAUGGAAAACGAUAAGAUAAUUGGGGAGACACACUCAUAUUAGGAGGGUUGAAGUUCCGUGGCUUCCAUGGGGUGAAAGCAGAAAGGACAUUGGGUCAGAAGUUCUUGAUAGAUAAGUAGAUGCCUGGAUGGAUC